UACGGGGGGGGCAAGCGUUGUCCGGAAUCACUGGGCGUAAAGGGCGCGUAGGCGGCGCGGUAAGCGUGCGGUGAAAGCCCGGGGCUCAACCCCGGGUCGGCCGUGCGGACUGCCGGGCUGGAGCACUGUAGAGGCAGGUGGAAUUCCGGGUGUAGCGGUGGAAUGCGUAGAUAUCGGGAGGAACACCAGUGGCGAAGGCGGUUGCCUGGGGCUUUGCUGACGCUGAUGCGCGAAAGCGUGGGGAGCGAUCCGG
Molecule: ribosomal RNA, 253 nt
Filed under: uncultured bacterium
Lineage: Bacteria
Description: partial 16S ribosomal RNA
Rfam family: Bacterial small subunit ribosomal RNA
Source: RNAcentral